GGUAUUUUGACCGUGCAAAGGUAGCAUAAUCAUUAGUUUUUUAAUUGAAAGCUGGAAUGAAAGGUUGGAUGAAAAAUAAGCUGUCUCUAUUUAAUUUUAUUAGAACUUUAUUUUUAAGUAAAAAAGCUUAAAUUUUGAUAGAAGACGAGAAGACCCUAUAGAGUUUUACUUAUUUUUUAAAUAAGAUUAAUAGUAUUAAUUAUUUUUAUUUAAAAAAUGAAUUUAGUUGGGGUGAUUGAAAAAUUUAAUAAACUUUUUUUAUAUAUAUACAUUAAUAUAUGAUUAAUUGAUCCUUAAUUUAAGAUUAAAAGAUAAAAUUACCUUAGGGAUAACAGCGUAAUUUUUUUUGAGAGUUCUAAUCGAAAGAAAAGAUUGCGACCUCGAUGUUGGAUUAAAAUAAAAUUUUGGUGCAGAAGCUAAAA
This 422-nucleotide ribosomal RNA is filed under the name Laparocerus persimilis. RNAcentral's name for it is "partial 16S ribosomal RNA". Lineage: Eukaryota; Metazoa; Arthropoda; Insecta; Coleoptera; Curculionidae. The record is from RNAcentral.